AGGGCGACCGGCCACACUGGAACUGAGACACGGUCCAGACUCUACGGGAGGCAGCAGUGGGGAAUCUUCCGCAAUGGGCGCAAGCCUGACGGAGCAACGCCGCGUGAGUGACGAAGGUCUUCGGAUUGUAAAACUCUGUCCAGAGGGAAGAAGCAAGUGACGGUACCUCUGGAGGAAGCCCCGGCUAACUACGUGCCAGCAGCCGCGGUAAAACGUAGGGGGCGAGCGUUGUCCGGAAUUACUGGGCGUAAAGGGCGUGUAGGCGGCUUGGUAAGUCAGUCGUGAAACCUACCGGCUCAACCGGUAGCUGGCGAUUGAAACUGCCGGGCUUGAGUGCAGUAGAGGGGAGUGGAAUUCCCAGUGUAGCGGUGAAAUGCGUAGAUAUUGGGAGGAACACCAGUGGCGAAAGCGGCUUCCUGGCCUGUAACUGACGCUGAGGCGCGAAAGCGUGGGUAGCAAACAGGAUUAGAUACCCUGGUAGUCCACGCCGUAAACGAUGGGUGCUAGGUGUUGGGGGUAUCGACCCCUCCAGUGCCGCAGUUAACGCAAUAAGCACCCCGCCUGGGGAGUACGGCCGCAAGGCUGAAACUCAAAGGAAUUGACGGGGGCCCGCACAAGCGGUGGAGUAUGUGGUUUAAUUCGACGCAACGCGAAGAACCUUACCAGGUCUUGACAUCCCCUGCCCGCUGUGGAAACACAGUUUUUCAUCUUCGGAUGAACAGGGAGACAGGUGGUGCAUGGUUGUCGUCAGCUCGUGUCGUGAGAUGUUGGGUUAAGUCCCGCAACUAGCGCAACCCCUACCUUUAGUUGCCAGCAAGUAAGGUUGGGCACUCUAAAGGGACUGCCGUUGACAAAACGGAGGAAGGA
Molecule: ribosomal RNA, 867 nt
Filed under: uncultured Peptococcaceae bacterium
Lineage: Bacteria; Bacillati; Bacillota; Clostridia; Eubacteriales; Peptococcaceae
Description: bacterial SSU rRNA
Rfam family: Bacterial small subunit ribosomal RNA
Source: RNAcentral